GAUGAAGAACGCAGCGAAAUGCGAUACGCAAUGUGAAUUGCAGAAUUCAGUGAAUCAUCGAGUCUUUGAACGCACAUUGCGCCCCCUGGUAUUCCGGGGGGCAUGCCUGUCCGAGCGUCAUUGCUGCCCUCAAGCCCGGCUUGUGUGUUGGGUCUCGUCCCCCUUCCCGGGGGGACGGGCCCGAAAGGCAGCGGCGGCACCGCGUCCGGUCCUCGAGCGUAUGGGGCUUUGUCACCCGCUCUGUAGGCCCGGCCGGCGCUUGCCGAUCAACCAAAACUUUUUUCCAGGUUGACCUCGGAUCAGGUAGGGAUACCCGCUGAACUUAAGCAUAUCAAUAAGCGGAGGA
This 346-nucleotide unclassified non-coding RNA is filed under the name soil metagenome. Its description in RNAcentral is "partial contains 5.8S ribosomal RNA, internal transcribed spacer 2, and large subunit ribosomal RNA". The stretch from base 1 to 120 matches the Rfam family "5.8S ribosomal RNA", at positions 35 to 154 of the family's 154-position model. The record is from RNAcentral.